UACGUAGGGAGCAAGCGUUGUUCGGAAUUAUUGGGCGUAAAGAGCGCGUAGGCGGUUUGGUAAGUCUGGUGUGAAAUCCCGGAGCUUAACUCCGGAACUGCAUUGGAUACUGCCAGGCUUGAGUGUGGGAGAGGAGAGUGGAAUUCCCAGUGUAGAGGUGAAAUUCGUAGAUAUUGGGAGGAACACCCGUGGCGAAGGCGGCUCUCUGGACCACAACUGACGCUGAGGCGCGAAAGCUAGGGGAGCAAACGGG
This 253-nucleotide ribosomal RNA is filed under the name uncultured bacterium. RNAcentral's name for it is "partial 16S ribosomal RNA". It matches the Rfam family "Bacterial small subunit ribosomal RNA", at positions 524 to 776 of the family's 1533-position model. The record is from RNAcentral.